This 253-nucleotide ribosomal RNA is filed under the name uncultured bacterium. RNAcentral's name for it is "partial 16S ribosomal RNA". It matches the Rfam family "Bacterial small subunit ribosomal RNA", at positions 524 to 776 of the family's 1533-position model. The record is from RNAcentral.
UACGAAGGGGGCUAGCGUUGCUCGGAAUCACUGGGCGUAAAGCGCACGUAGGCGGCUUUUUAAGUCAGGGGUGAAAUCCUGGAGCUCAACUCCAGAACUGCCUUUGAUACUGAGAAGCUUGAGUCCGGGAGAGGUGAGUGGAACUGCGAGUGUAGAGGCGAAAUUCGUAGAUAUUCGCAAGAACACCAGUGGCGAAGGCGGCUCACUGGCCCGAUACUGACGCUGAGGCACGAAAGCGUGGGGAGCAAACAGG